UACGUAGGGUGCGAGCGUUGUCCGGAAUUAUUGGGCGUAAAGAGCUUGUAGGCGGUUUGUCGCGUCUGCUGUGAAAAUCCGGGGCUCAACCCCGGACUUGCAGUGGGUACGGGCAGACUAGAGUGUGGUAGGGGAGACUGGAAUUCCUGGUGUAGCGGUGAAAUGCGCAGAUAUCAGGAGGAACACCGGUGGCGAAGGCGGGUCUCUGGGCCAUAACUGACGCUGAGGAGCGAAAGCGUGGGGAGCGAACAGG
Molecule: ribosomal RNA, 253 nt
Filed under: uncultured bacterium
Lineage: Bacteria
Description: partial 16S ribosomal RNA
Rfam family: Bacterial small subunit ribosomal RNA
Source: RNAcentral